CGGGGAGGAGCCCUGCGGAGGGGUGUCGCGCGCUCGGCCGGUGGGAAGGAGCGAGCCGGGGCCGGCGCGGCCGCGGGGGCGGGGGCGGGGGCGGGGGCGGGGGCGGGGGAGGCGCGGGGGGCGGGGCGGAGGCGGCGGAGCCCCCGGGAUCCACUCGCCCGGCGCCGGCCCCCGCACUCGGAGCCGCGGCCGCCGCCCGCCCCGCCGCCAGCUCGGGGCGGAAACUUCCUCGGGUCCCGCGCUCCGAGGAGAGCGCGCCCCGGGCCCGGCCUCCCUCCCCGCCCGCCGAGCUCGGGGGUCCCGGCGCCGAGCAGGGCACGCGCUGCCGAGGCCGGGGCCGCCGGGGCAGGGGGCGCUCCCGGGCCCCGCGGAGGCUGCCCGCGCGAGUGGGGACGAGCCGGCGCCCGGCGGGACCCCCGGAGCGCAGCGCAGCGCAGCGGAGCGAGGGAGGGAGGGGGGGAGGGGGGUCCGCGCCUGCAGCCCCGCGCCCGGCGGCGGCCGAAGACUGGGGCGCUCGCUGAGAGGAGCAGGCGGGGUCCCCCGGGCGCCCCCGGAGGCCGGGCCCCCGACCGCGCGCAGCCGGGCCGAGCCGAGCCGAGCCGAGCCGAGCCGAGCCGAGCGGCCACCGGAGCCGCGGGCCCGCGGGGCGGCGGGACAUGCAGGUGUCUUGGGGCCUGGCCGGUAGCAGGUGCGCAAGAUCAUAGAUGAGAGGAAUGAUGAAAAGGCGUGUGGUCUAUUGCCUUGUCCUAAAAUGGUGUUUCUGGACCUGAUAACUCUUGGUUGAGGAAGGCUGUCCUGUGCAUCGUGGACUGUUUAGCAGCAUCUCUGACCUCUACCCCCCAGAUGCCAGAGGCACCCCCCCCACCUAGGAGUGGUAAGUAAAAGUGUCGCUAGACAUUGCCAGGUGUUGGGUGGGGGCAAUGUCUUCCCUGACUAAGCACCACUGUUCUAAAGCAUUUCUAUUAUUUCCCUUGUUUUUGUCUCCCCUAAAUCCUUUAGAAUUGUUAUCUGUCUUGCUUCCUAGUUCUGUACCACUGCCUGAGUGCGA
RNAcentral lists this long non-coding RNA (1048 nucleotides) under Canis lupus familiaris (dog). RNAcentral's name for it is "lncRNA (ENSCAFG00845029468.1)". The record is from RNAcentral. Lineage: Eukaryota; Metazoa; Chordata; Mammalia; Carnivora; Canidae.